Molecule: long non-coding RNA, 241 nt
Organism: Thalassophryne amazonica
Lineage: Eukaryota; Metazoa; Chordata; Actinopteri; Batrachoidiformes; Batrachoididae
Exons: 3
Source: RefSeq, a predicted model, not a curated record
CGCACGAGGGUUCAAGCAUGUCUGACGUAAAAACAUGAAUGAAAUCCAUAUAGUUUUUGAAAAAAAUAAAAAGGACCUAUACUUUACGGACAGCCCUCGUAUGCUGUGUAUGUGGGUGUGUUCAGCAAAUUAUCUGCAGGAGAAUUCAAUGUUUGGUUGAAUGUAAAGAUGUAUCAUAAUUAGCAACUCGUAUUAUUUUCAUGCAGCUAUUGUUUUUUCUUUGUUUUUCUGUGUUUGGAUG